Molecule: long non-coding RNA, 202 nt
Filed under: Gossypium raimondii (Peruvian cotton)
Lineage: Eukaryota; Viridiplantae; Streptophyta; Magnoliopsida; Malvales; Malvaceae
Description: long non-coding RNA (GRAI_LNC008166)
Source: RNAcentral
UGAAAUGAAAUUUGGUCUAUGUGAAAUAUACUGAAUUCUAAAAUAAUUUUGAUGGAUAGAGUAAAAGUUUUAUACAUGAGAUUUCUGACUGAUUUUUUGUUCUGGACUGAGCUCCAGCAUUUGUUGCGGACUCGAAUAUACAUGUGACUCUGGUUAAGCCUGGAUUGGUAAUCUGUUGUUGUUUUAAAGGUUUAGUCUGGAC